AGAGGUUUCAUGCUAUAAUAAUAAUAAUAAUAAUAACAACGCAAGGGUUAUAAGAAAAGGAAUAAGUGAUUUUCACGCUCACAGUUUCUCCGUUUAUGCAAUUUUUUCCAAUUAGUUUGUUGAUUGAAUGAAAUAAUGAGAGAUUCAACAGACCAAAACAAACAAAAUGAGAGCACGUAAGGAAAAUGGAAAUGCGAAAACUACUGAAAAAAUUUAGUACCUAAUGUCGAUAUAUAGUUCAAAUCAGUCAUUUUCUAGAUAGCAAAUCGACGUUAAAAGUGGUUAUUCUCGUGGCCAAAUGCAAACAAACAAACUUUUUUGUUUGUUAUCCAGACAACCUCACAUCUUACAGUCACGGGUGAUCCUACCAAUAUUCAGUGCACGAUUUAUUUAUAAUUACAGUGGGUGUAGCUAAAUCUAAAGAAUGAUUGAUGCCAAAAAUUAUGAAGCUUAUUCUGUCCCUAGUGAUUGAAUCAAUACAUACACCCACUUACACUUUUAACACAUGCUUUGUCUUCAAAGGCAAAAAAGAAAUUUGGAAAUAGGCUAAAUUGGAUUAAUAGUCUCGUGGUAAUAGGAUAAUCGGAAAAUAGCUCCCGUGAUGAAAAAAAUUCGGAUUUAAACCCUUGUGAAGAAGUCUGUUAGGAUUCAAGCCCAAAAAAUAUGAAUUUUUUCAUCACGGACUUCACCACAAGGGCUAUCUUUUGAUUACCCCUAUCACUACGGGAACCAUUAAUCCACUUUAGCCGUGGAAAUAUUCCAAGACAAAACCCCAAAAGAAUGUUUUAUUUCUGUAACACAAGAAAAGAAUAAAAGCAGAGGUGUUUGAACAUAUAGUACAGAGCAGCCAUCUCUUUCCAGACAAGUUUUGUAGGUUUCCCUUGCUUAACUCAACCACCUGCAUAAACAAAAUCUCAUUCACUAGAGGUUUAAACCAAGACUCACAACAAUCAGUGUAAAACGUCCAAGUUUAUGUACUGUAUCUUUUGCCUCCAGUAAUCUGUAUAUCUAGCACUCCAUCACCUUCAGCCCUCUAAAUACAUGCCUACAGUAAGUCCAUUAAAAAGCCAAAUGUGACGUGUUCGUGAAAGUACAUAAAUGAAUACCAAAUGUUUAUUUUAUUAUACCAUAUGUAACGUCCUCUAAUUUAUUAAACCAAAUGUUUAUUUUACUUUUGUAAAAUUCAAAAUAAAUAGAAUGAAAAAGCUCAAAUUUAAUCUUGUGACUCGAACCUCUUCAAGAGAAAACGAGACGUUAAAAACACAUUAUGGCAGGAGAAAAGGGGGGUGAGGGGAACAAGGGACCCCAGAUGCAAGACUACGUGCUCUUGACUGCUUGAGCUACAACGUUCAUCAUUAAUAUUCGUUAGUAAUGAUUGAUCAUUGUAUUGAAACUAGAAUAAUACUUGAAGCAGCAAGAGAUUUCCAAUGUCGCAAUCAUUUUAAUGAAUAAAGGAGGAGGGGGAGGGCGUCAGGUAGUCGACAGCCGGCACUCCAUGAUCACGUCGAAUCCUUAUG
RNAcentral lists this long non-coding RNA (1517 nucleotides) under Malus domestica (apple). RNAcentral describes it as "long non-coding RNA (MDOM_LNC006522)". Lineage: Eukaryota; Viridiplantae; Streptophyta; Magnoliopsida; Rosales; Rosaceae. The record is from RNAcentral.